UUCUCGAAUUUAAAAGAGCUAAAAAUUUUAUUGUAAUAAAUAUUUAAAAUUUGUAAUGAAAUGUUAAUAUAUCUAGUUAUCUAAGAAAAUUUAAUUUUUUUAUUUAUAAGGGGAUAAGCUUUUAUUAGGAUUAGAAGUGUUGUUAUAAUUAAUUUAUUAGAUUAUAAAUUUAAAUUAUGUUAGUAAUAAUGAUAUAAUUAGUAAAAGAUUGAGUAAAGGAAUUCGGCAAAUAUUUUUCACCUGUUUAUUAAAAACAUGGCCUUUUGACUAUAAUAUUAGGUUUGGCCUGCCCACUGAGGCCGCGGUAUUUUGACCGUGCUAAGGUAGCAUAAUCAUUAGUUUUUUAAUUGGAAGCUGGUAUGAAUGGUCGGAUGAAAAAAUAACUGUCUCUAUUCAAUUGAAUUUUAUUUUUAAGUAAAAAAGCUUAAAUAUUUUUAAAAGACGAGAAGACCCUAUAGAGUUUUAUUUUGAUUGGGGCGAUUGAAAAAUUUAAUAAACUUUUGAUUAUAAGAUUAAAUUACCUUAGGGAUAACAGCGUAAUUUUUUUUAGAGUUCAAAUCGAAAAAAAAGUUUGCGACCUCGA
This 583-nucleotide ribosomal RNA is filed under the name Monochamus subfasciatus. RNAcentral describes it as "partial large subunit ribosomal RNA". The stretch from base 203 to 399 matches the Rfam family "Archaeal large subunit ribosomal RNA", at positions 1791 to 2108 of the family's 2987-position model. Lineage: Eukaryota; Metazoa; Arthropoda; Insecta; Coleoptera; Cerambycidae. The record is from RNAcentral.